GACGUAGGAUGCAAGCGUUGUCCGGAUUUACUGGGCGUAAAGAGCGCGCAGGCGGCUGGUCAAGUCCGAUGUGAAAUCUCCCGGCUUAACUGGGAAACUGCAUCGGAAACUGAUCGGCUUGAAGGUGGGAGAGGGUAGUGGAAUUCCCGGUGUAGUGGUGAAAUGCGUAGAUAUCGGGAGGAACACCAGUGGCGAAGGCGACUACCUGGCCCAUUCUUGACGCUGAGGCGCGAAAGCUAGGGGAGCGAACGGG
Molecule: ribosomal RNA, 253 nt
Filed under: uncultured bacterium
Lineage: Bacteria
Description: partial 16S ribosomal RNA
Rfam family: Bacterial small subunit ribosomal RNA
Source: RNAcentral